This 385-nucleotide ribosomal RNA is filed under the name uncultured bacterium. Its description in RNAcentral is "bacterial SSU rRNA". It matches the Rfam family "Bacterial small subunit ribosomal RNA", at positions 30 to 414 of the family's 1533-position model. The record is from RNAcentral.
AUUGAACGCUGGCGGCAGGCCUAACACAUGCAAGUCGAGCGGUAGAGAGGUGCUUGCAUCUCUUGGGAGCGGCGGACGGGUGAGUAAUGCCUAGGAAUCUGCCUAGUGGUGGGGGAUAACGUUCGGAAACGGACGCUAAUACCGCAUACGUCCUACGGGAGAAAGCGGGGGAUCUUCGGACCUCGCGCCAUUAGAUGAGCCUAGGUCGGAUUAGCUAGUUGGUGAGGUAAUGGCUCACCAAGGCGACGAUCCGUAACUGGUCUGAGAGGAUGAUCAGUCACACUGGAACUGAGACACGGUCCAGACUCCUACGGGAGGCAGCAGUGGGGGAAUAUUGGACAAUGGGCGAAGACCUGAUCCAGCAAUGCCGCGUGCAGGAUGAAGG